RNAcentral lists this ribosomal RNA (293 nucleotides) under uncultured Planctomycetota bacterium. Its description in RNAcentral is "uncultured planctomycete partial 16S ribosomal RNA". The record is from RNAcentral. Lineage: Bacteria; Pseudomonadati; Planctomycetota.
GGACUACAGGGGUUUCUAAUCCCGUUCGCUCCCCUGGCUUUCGCGUCUCAGCGUCAGUAGGCGUCCAGGACCUCGCUUUCGCCACGGGCGUUCCUUCCGAUCUCAACGCAUUUCACCGCUCCACCGGAAGUUCCAGGUCCCCCUACGCCCCUCCAGGAAGGUCGUAUCCGUGCCCGUUCCCCGGUUGAGCCGGGGGAUUUCAGCGCCGGACGUGCCCUCCCGCCUACACGCGCUUUAAGCCCAGUGAUUCCGAAUAACGUUCGCACGGUUCGUCUUACCGCGGCUGCUGGCAC